UAAUGAAGAAACAACCAGAUCCUGGCGAACGAGUGCAAUGCAAUGAAAACCAUUCUGACGGAUUUGCAGUGCAUCUUGCCAAACCUCCAAAAAAUUGUAGAACAUAAAAAGGGAACUAAAUGGAAACAUGAUAGAAAGAGAGACUCCCACAGCCUUACAAAUUUUUUUAUGACUAAGGUAUUCAUAAACUUUGGUAAUAUAGUGAAUUUGAGAGAAUCUUCAAUGUAAGUUGUGAAAGGGAUAAUAGCUUUAUGCUAUCUGCAUGACUAUGAACCCUUUUUUUUUGUUUAACUGAAUUUGAAAUUUGCAAUAAUAAUUAUAGACAGAAAAAUGUGACAAUAACAACCAACCUUGUAACAGACAAU
Molecule: unclassified non-coding RNA, 365 nt
Filed under: Hevea brasiliensis (rubber tree)
Lineage: Eukaryota; Viridiplantae; Streptophyta; Magnoliopsida; Malpighiales; Euphorbiaceae
Source: RNAcentral